RNAcentral lists this ribosomal RNA (463 nucleotides) under uncultured bacterium. RNAcentral's name for it is "partial 16S ribosomal RNA". It matches the Rfam family "Bacterial small subunit ribosomal RNA", at positions 28 to 507 of the family's 1533-position model. The record is from RNAcentral.
GACGAACGCUGGCGGCGUGCCUAACACAUGCAAGUCGAGCGGGGGGAGUUCUUCGGAACGAACCUAGCGGCGGGCGGGUGAGUAACACGUGGGCAACCUGCCUUGAGGAGGGGGAUAACAGGAUGAAAGUCCUGCUAAUACCGCAUAACCCGGUGCUGUCGCAUGAUGGCAUCGGCAAAGGAGCAAUCCGCCUCAAGGUGGGCCCGCGGCGCAUUAGCUAGUUGGUGGGGUAACGGCCUACCAAGGCGACGAUGCGUAGCCGACCUGAGAGGGUGAUCGGCCACAUUGGAACUGAGACACGGUCCAGACUCCUACGGGAGGCAGCAGUGGGGAAUAUUGCACAAUGGGCGAAAGCCUGAUGCAGCAACGCCGCGUGAGCGAUGAAGGCCUUCGGGUUGUAAAGCUCUGUCUUCGCUGACGAAAUCUGACGGUAAGCGAGGAGAAAGCCACGGCUAACUACGUG